Long non-coding RNA from Drosophila subpulchrella, 721 nucleotides. RefSeq lists it as uncharacterized. The transcript is spliced from 2 exons. The record is from RefSeq and is a predicted model, not a curated record. NCBI's taxonomy places the organism in Eukaryota, Metazoa, Arthropoda, Insecta, Diptera, Drosophilidae.
GUGGCGCGGAGGGAGGAUAUAUUCCGCGUUAUAACCUAGUCCUCACAUCGACGAAAACCGCGAGCUAACCAUAGGAGUGAAAGAGAGGCAAACAGGCGGCUAACGCUUUUCGUCGGUACUGUUCUUCAACGCGGUACUCAGAUUAGUUAAGGAAAUACCAGAAAAUAUACCAGAUUUAGCGUGUAAUAAACGCCUCUAUAAGGUCAGUGCACAUAAAAAGGGACGCCUAAUCCAAGCUAUUGCCCAUUAUUGUGGGAAUUGACCCACAGGAAGCAAUACCAUAACAGGCCAAAUCCGCAGAAUAGUGGAAGUGCAGAACCACUAGUAAUCUCUGAAGAGCUCUCCGUCAUAACCACAAGUCUCUUGGCAGCUAAUGCGGAGCUGGAGAACGCGUUGGUUUCUAUGGGGAGGAGGAAAAAAGGAUGCCCGCUAAGGGACAGCUGGAAAAGGCAUUACCAACUAAUGCCAUUAUGCUGGGCGACUUCCUACAGCAUCAGCGUAACAACCCCGUUCCCAAUCCGGCUCCCACUUCCUCAGACGCAGACUCUUCUUUUUUAAAUUGCUGCAAUUGAUACGUUUUUCGUCUGUCAAAAACCCAGCCGCUUGACAGCAAGACCAUGCUACAUCCAUUGCAUGUGAAAUUUGUAAGCUUCGGUCACACUACAAAGAAUAAAAAUUUUCGGCUCCUGAAACUUUUAGCCGACAUGAGUACUGAGCUUAA